AACGACUCUCGGCAACGGAUAUCUCGGCUCUCGCAUCGAUGAAGAACGUAGCGAAAUGCGAUACUUGGUGUGAAUUGCAGAAUCCCGUGAACCAUCGAGUCUUUGAACGCAAGUUGCGCCCGAAGCCAUCAGGCCGAGGGCACGUCUGGCUGGGUGUCACAAGAC
RNAcentral lists this ribosomal RNA (165 nucleotides) under Peltogyne paniculata subsp. pubescens. RNAcentral's name for it is "5.8S ribosomal RNA". It matches the Rfam family "5.8S ribosomal RNA". From Rfam's summary of the family: 5.8S ribosomal RNA (5.8S rRNA) is a component of the large subunit of the eukaryotic ribosome. It is transcribed by RNA polymerase I as part of the 45S precursor that also contains 18S and 28S rRNA. Lineage: Eukaryota; Viridiplantae; Streptophyta; Magnoliopsida; Fabales; Fabaceae. The record is from RNAcentral.